AACUCGGCAAAUUGCCCCCGUAACUUCGGGAGAAGGGGGGCCUCCGCUGGUGAUCAGACUUGCUUUGUGAGCUGGUGGGGGUCGCAGAGGCCAGGGGGAAGCGACUGUUUACUAAAAACACAGGUCCGUGCGAAGUCGUAAGACGAUGUAUACGGACUGACGCCUGCCCGGUGCUGGAACGUUAAGGGGACCGGUUAGCGGGACGUAAGUCCUGCGAGGCUGAGAACUUAAGCGCCAGUAAACGGCGGUGGUAACUAUAACCAUCCUAAGGUAGCGAAAUUCCUUGUCGGGUAAGUUCCGACCUGCACGAAUGGCGUAACGACUUCCCCGCUGUCUCAACCGCAGACCCGGCGAAAUUGCACUACGAGUAAAGAUGCUCGUUACGCGCAGCAGGACGGAAAGACCCCGGGACCUUCACUACAGCUUGACAUUGGCGUUUGGAACGUCUUGUGUAGGAUAGGUGGGAGACUGUGAAGCCGUCACGCUAGUGGUGGUGGAGUCAUUGGUGAAAUACCACUCUGGUCGUUUUGAACGUCUAACUUCGGUCCGUGAUCCGGAUCAGGGACAGUGUCUGGUGGGUAGUUUAACUGGGGCGGUUGCCUCCUAAAGAGUAACGGAGGCGCCCAAAGGUUCCCUCAGCCUGGUUGGUAAUCAGGUGUCGAGUGUAAGUGCACAAGGGAGCUUGACUGUGAGACCGACGGGUCGAGCAGGAGCGAAAGCUGGGACUAGUGAUCCGGCGGUGGCAUGUGGAAGCGCCGUCGCUCAACGGCUAAAAGGUACCCCGGGGAUAACAGGCUGAUCUUCCCCAAGAGUCCAUAUCGACGGGAUGGUUUGGCACCUCGAUGUCGGCUCGUCGCAUCCUGGGGCUGGAGUAGGUCCCAAGGGUUGGGCUGUUCGCCCAUUAAAGCGGUACGCGAGCUGGGUUUAGAACGUCGCGAGACAGUUCGGUCCCUAUCCGCUGCGCGCGCAGGAGACUUGAAAGGAGCUGUCCCUAGUACGAGAGGACCGGGACGGACGAACCUCUGGUGUGCCAGUUGUUCCGCCAGGAGCAUGGCUGGUUGGCUACGUUCGGAAGGGAUAACCGCUGAAAGCAUCUAAGCGGGAAGCUCGCCUUGAGAUGAGGUCUCCCACCACGUGAGUGGGUAAGGCCCCCGGGAGACGACCGGGUUGAUAGGCCGGAGGUGGAAGCACGGUAACGUGUGGAGCUGACCGGUACUAAUAGGCCGAGGACUUGACCAC
Molecule: ribosomal RNA, 1239 nt
Filed under: metagenome
Description: bacterial LSU rRNA
Rfam family: Bacterial large subunit ribosomal RNA
Source: RNAcentral